GGGGGGGGGGGGGGGGGGGGCGGCACCCGGUCCGCAGCCCCGCGCUGCCCUGUCGUGGAAACGCUCUUUCCCGUUUGUUUCUGGAAAACCAAGGCCCAGGACAAUCCUCACAAGGAAGAAAAACAACCACACAGACAAGACCAUUUGACACCAAAAGCCUGCUUCUGAUUUAAGUCACUUCCUUUCCGCGAGCCUGUCAAAGCUCAACCGCAUCCCAUCAGUUUUGGGUCUACCUUCAGGAUUGCCAGCCCCAGGGUGCUCCAGAUCUUUCGCGUUGCCCAGCUGCAGACAGCACAUACCAGCCCCAACUCUGACUCUCCAGUCGGGGCCUUCGUUCAUUUAUUCCAGCAACCCCAAUGGGACAUUGCGUGACGGCAGCUUCAGGGAUGCCUUAGCUAAAGCACGUGGAUCUUACUGACAUUCUUGAAGAUGGAAAAGGUUUUGUAGGAAGAAAAUCAUUAAAAAAUAAAAACCCUGCAAAUAGUUAAAGUUCGGUAAAUGUUUUUGCAGUUUGUUCUGGCGCACUGUAGGCAGUUCAUUUUAAAAUCAAUCAAAUAGAACUAUAAUCAUUCUUUAAGAGAUGAUUGACGGAAUCAAAAUACGAAGGGAAGCAGGACGCCGUGGUGACUCGGGCUGUAAAGUAUGCGGGUCUUAAUCUAGGGCCGAGAAUCCAAGUCCCGCUUACAGUUCAGGCCAUAUUGGUCUAUACCCUGGGUGGGGGGCCUACUUACUUUAAAAAAAAAAAAUUGAUGGAGAAAAGCUACAGCGUUCAUGGAAUAUGCUGAGCCCAUACGUUUGAAGUGUUUUGUGCAAGUUUCAAGCCAUUGUGCGUUAAGGAGGGAGACGAUCUCCAGCAGGAAAGGAAAGCUGAUCAGGCUCAUGGAACGUUGUCAAUCGCAGGCGACAGUGGAAGGAAACAGAGCUCAGUAAAUUGCAAAAGGCAUGUGUUUGGGUCAGAAGACCAGCUGGCGUCUGGGUGCGACGGUUAUUAGCUGUGCGGCCCGUGGGGGCCUCAGCUCCACCUGUUUUACAAGAGCCUGGAGGUAAGAGAUGCCCGGCCUUGCUUCUCCUGGGGGAGUCACUCACUCGGCAUCACCUCUGGGGCCCAGGACCGUCCCCUUGGACCCUUCCAGAUGGUUCUUUCCCCAGACUUGAUGAUGUCCCCACUUGCACAGAGUCCUCCCCGGAGCUCCCUCCCCGCAGCUGCCCCCUGCCUGGUGCUCCCGGGAGGGCUCCGGCGUGUCCGGCCCACCCCACGGGCACCUGCCUGGGGAGGCCCCUCCGGUCCCCAGGCCUGAGCUGGCCACUUGCAGGGCCGUUGCCGCCGUGCCUGCCUCUCGGGAAUGUCACCUUCAAGGCCUGGCGUUCAGCACCUUGAAACUGUUGUCUUACCUGUUUGGUACAGUUUUCUGAUUUCUGUUGUUUCAAGGAGUAAAAUAAACCUGGUUCCUGAUACUCCA
Canis lupus familiaris (dog) is the source of this 1460-nucleotide long non-coding RNA. RefSeq lists it as uncharacterized. The transcript has 3 exons. The record is from RefSeq and is a predicted model, not a curated record. NCBI's taxonomy places the organism in Eukaryota, Metazoa, Chordata, Mammalia, Carnivora, Canidae.